This 300-nucleotide ribosomal RNA is filed under the name uncultured Prevotella sp. RNAcentral's name for it is "partial 16S ribosomal RNA". The stretch from base 51 to 300 matches the Rfam family "Bacterial small subunit ribosomal RNA", at positions 547 to 795 of the family's 1533-position model. Lineage: Bacteria; Pseudomonadati; Bacteroidota; Bacteroidia; Bacteroidales; Prevotellaceae. The record is from RNAcentral.
GUACAUCGGGGAGGGCAGGGGGGGGAGGGCGGAGGGGGGAGGGGUUGUUCGGAAUGACUGGGGGUGAAGGUGGCGUAGGUGGGUCGUUAUAGCCGGAAGUGAAAUCCCGCCGCUCAACGGGGGGGCUGCUGGGGAAACGGGAGGUCUGGGGACCGGUAGAGGGCGGUAGAAUGCCCGGUGUAGCGGUGGAAUGCGUAGAGAUCGGGAAGAACACCCGUGGCGAAGGCGGCCGACUGGGCCGGAUCCGACGCUGAUGCGCGAAAGCGUGGGGAGCAAACAGGAUUAGAUACCCGUGUAGUC